CCCCAUAGGCCUGAGGUACUGGAAGGUCCUCAGGCCGAAAGGGGCUCUGCCCGCCCGAGGAUGGGCCGGCGGCCGAUUAGGUAGUUGGUGGGGUAACGGCCCACCAAGCCCAUAAUCGGUACGGGCCAUGAGAGUGGGAGCCCGGAGAUGGACACUGAGACACGGGUCCAGGCCCUACGGGGCGCAGCAGGCGCGAAACCUCCGCAAUGCGGGCAACCGCGACGGGGGGACCCCCAGUGCCGUGGCAACGCCACGGCUUUUCCGGAGUGUAAAAAGCUCCGGGAAUAAGGGCUGGGCAAGGCCGGUGGCAGCCGCCGCGGUAAUACCGGCGGCCCGAGUGGUGGCCGCUAUUAUUGGGCCUAAAGCGUCCGUAGCCGGGCCCGUAAGUCCCUGGCGAAAUCCCACGGCUCAACCGUGGGGCUUGCUGGGGAUACUGCAAGCCUGGGACCGGGAGAGGCCGGGGGUACUCCUGGGGUAGGGGUGAAAUCCUAUAAUCCCAGGAGGACCGCCAGUGGCGAAGGCGCCCGGCUGGAACGGGUCCGACGGUGAGGGACGAAGGCCAGGGGAGCAAACCGGAUUAGAUACCCGGGUAGUCCUGGCUGUAAAGGAUGCGGGCUAGGUGUUGCUUGGACCUCGAGUCCAAGCAGUGCCGCAGG
RNAcentral lists this ribosomal RNA (656 nucleotides) under uncultured archaeon. RNAcentral describes it as "bacterial SSU rRNA". It matches the Rfam family "Archaeal small subunit ribosomal RNA", at positions 152 to 807 of the family's 1478-position model. The record is from RNAcentral.